AGAGUUGAUCUGUCAGAACGAACGCUGGCGGCGUGGAUAAGACAUGCAAGUCGAACACUGAUUACAGGGUAGCAAUAUUCUGUAGUCGGAGUGGCGCAAGGGUGCGUAACACGUGGGUAAUCUGCCGUGAAGUCUGGGAUAACUUGCUGAAAGGCGAGCUAAUACCGGAUGUGAAAGUUGGAAGGCAUCUUCUGAUAUUCAAAGUUGGGGACCGCAAGGCCUGACGCUUCACGAUGAACCCGCGGCCUAUCAGCUAGUUGGUGAGGUAACGGCUCACCAAGGCUAAGACGGGUAGCUGGUCUGAGAGGACGACCAGCCUCACUGGAACUGAGACACGGUCCAGACACCUACGGGUGGCAGCAGUCGAGAAUUUUUCACAAUGGGGGAAACCCUGAUGGAGCGACGCCGCGUGGGGGAUGAAUGGCUUCGGCCCGUAAACCCCUGUCAUUUGUGACCAAACCUUCCGACCCAACACGUCGGAAGCUGAUGGUAGCGGAAGAGGAAGGGACGGCUAACUCUGUGCCAGCAGCCGCGGUAAUACAGAGGUCCCAAGCGUUGUUCGGAUUCACUGGGCGUAAAGGGUGCGUAGGUGGUCGGGUAAGUCUGAUGUGAAAUCUCCGAGCUUAACUCGGAAAUGGCAUUGGAUACUAUUCAACUCGAGGGUUGGAGGGGGGACUGGAAUUCUCGGUGUAGCAGUGAAAUGCGUAGAUAUCGAGAGGAACACCAGUGGCGAAGGCGAGUCCCUGGACAACUCCUGACACUGAGGCACGAAAGCUAGGGGAGCAAACAGGAUUAGAUACCCUGGUAGUCCUAGCUGUAAACGGUGCAUA
Molecule: ribosomal RNA, 830 nt
Filed under: uncultured bacterium
Lineage: Bacteria
Description: bacterial SSU rRNA
Rfam family: Bacterial small subunit ribosomal RNA
Source: RNAcentral